RNAcentral lists this ribosomal RNA (497 nucleotides) under uncultured bacterium. RNAcentral's name for it is "partial 16S ribosomal RNA". It matches the Rfam family "Bacterial small subunit ribosomal RNA", at positions 28 to 507 of the family's 1533-position model. The record is from RNAcentral.
GAUGAACGCUGGCGGCGUGCCUAAUACAUGCAAGUCGAGCGAACAGACGAGGAGCUUGCUCCUCUGACGUUAGCGGCGGACGGGUGAGUAACACGUGGAUAACCUACCUAUAAGACUGGGAUAACUUCGGGAAACCGGAGCUAAUACCGGAUAAUAUAUUGAACCGCAUGGUUCAAUAGUGAAAGACGGUUUUGCUGUCACUUAUAGAUGGAUCCGCGCCGCAUUAGCUAGUUGGUAAGGUAACGGCUUACCAAGGCAACGAUGCGUAGCCGACCUGAGAGGGUGAUCGGCCACACUGGAGCUGAGACAGGGUCCAGACUCCUACGGGAGGCAGCAGUAGGGAAUCUUCCGCAAUGGGCGAAAGCUUGACGGAGCAACGCCGCGUGAGUGAUGAAGGUCUUCGGAUCGUAAAACUCUGUUAUUAGGGAAGAACAAAUGUGUAAGUAACUAUGCACGUCUUGACGGUACCUAAUCAGAAAGCCACGGCUAACUACGUG